AGAGUUUGAUCAUGGCUCAGGACGAACGCUGGCGGCGUGCAUAACACAUGCAAGUCGAGCGAGGGCUUAUUUCCCGCAAGGGAGAUGAGUUCCUAGCGGCGAACGGGUGAGUAACACGUGGGCAACCUUUCCCAUCGCGGGGGAUAACAGCGGGAAACCGCUGCUAAUACCGCAUGUCGUCACCGGUCGCAUGGCCGGUGAAGAAAGCAGCAAUGCACGAUGGGAUGGGCCCGCGGCCUAUCAGCUAGUCGGUGGGGUAACGGCCUACCGAGGCGAUGACGGGUAGCUGGUCUGAGAGGACGACCAGCCACACGGGGACUGAGACACGGCCCCGACUCCUACGGGGGGCAGCAGUGAGGAAUCUUCCGCAAUGGGCGAAAGCCUGACGGAGCGACACCGCGUGUGGGAUGAAGUCUUUCGGGAUGUAAACCACUGUUGGAGGGGAAGACAUCGACGGUACCCUCCGAGAAAGCCCCGGCUAACUACGUGCCAGCCGCCGCGGUAAUAC
Molecule: ribosomal RNA, 508 nt
Filed under: uncultured bacterium
Lineage: Bacteria
Description: bacterial SSU rRNA
Rfam family: Bacterial small subunit ribosomal RNA
Source: RNAcentral